This is a long non-coding RNA of Lampris incognitus (smalleye Pacific opah), 528 nucleotides long. RefSeq lists it as uncharacterized. NCBI's taxonomy places the organism in Eukaryota, Metazoa, Chordata, Actinopteri, Lampriformes, Lampridae. The record is from RefSeq and is a predicted model, not a curated record. The transcript is spliced from 4 exons.
GCGGAUGGGAAGAAGGAGGGAUGUGUUCAUCCAGACAUGUCAAAGUCUUUCCUGAUCACACUUUGGCGCAAGAAAAAAAGUUGAGUGAGUUGAUGGCUCCGGUCGUCUCGCAGAGGUUUUAACAAUCGCAGCGUCGAAGGAGGGUGUUACCAAACUGCAGAGCAGCUGUAGAAAGGACAGAUCCUUGUGUCUGAAACUUGAAAUUGUAUCUGGCCAAUUACUCCGAGCCAUCCCGGUCCCUGCUCCACCCCCUCUCUGCUGAUCUGGGGAGUGCCCUGACCAACCAGAGGAGGCGCUAGUGCAACGACCAGGACAAAUACCCACAUCCGACCACCCACACGGCCAAUUGUGUGUGUAAGGACGCCUGACCAAGCCGGAGGUAACACGGUGAUUCGACCCGGUGAUCCUGUGUUGGUAGGCAACGGAAUAGACCGCUACGCUACGUGGACGCCCGAGGCAGUAAAUAGGUGGAAGGUGAGAGAUUUACUGCGCUGUGCACAACACCACCUUGGAGGUAAUGAAAGCAAG